This 29-nucleotide non-coding RNA is filed under the name Rattus norvegicus (Norway rat). The record is from RNAcentral. Lineage: Eukaryota; Metazoa; Chordata; Mammalia; Rodentia; Muridae.
UUCGAAGUCUAGUGACUCUGAAUGUGACA